GGGUAUAUAGCUCAGUGGUAGAGCUUGUGCUUAGCAUGCACGAGGUCCUGGGUUCAAUCCUCAGUACCUCCA
This 72-nucleotide transfer RNA is filed under the name Camelus bactrianus (Bactrian camel). It matches the Rfam family "tRNA". Rfam says of the family: Transfer RNA (tRNA) molecules are approximately 80 nucleotides in length. Their secondary structure includes four short double-helical elements and three loops (D, anti-codon, and T loops). RNAcentral also lists the same sequence under 2 other names. The record is from Rfam by way of RNAcentral. Lineage: Eukaryota; Metazoa; Chordata; Mammalia; Artiodactyla; Camelidae.